UACGAAGGGGGCUAGCGUUGCUCGGAAUCACUGGGCGUAAAGCGCACGUAGGCGGCUUUCUAAGUCAGGGGUGAAAUCCUGGAGCUCAACUCCAGAACUGCCUUUGAUACUGGAGAGCUUGAGUCCGGAAGGGGUGAGUGGAACUCCGAGUGUAGAGGUGAAAUUCGUAGAUAUUCGGAAGAACACCAGUGGCGAAGGCGGCUCACUGGUCCGGUACUGACGCUGAGGUGCGAAAGCGUGGGGAGCAAACAGG
RNAcentral lists this ribosomal RNA (253 nucleotides) under uncultured bacterium. RNAcentral's name for it is "partial 16S ribosomal RNA". It matches the Rfam family "Bacterial small subunit ribosomal RNA", at positions 524 to 776 of the family's 1533-position model. The record is from RNAcentral.